GGCGCAAAAGGAGCCAGAGGCCAGACAGGUCCAAAGGGUAGAAAGGGUGCACAGGUGUGAAAAUCACAUAAUUCUGCACAAUUUUUCCUUCAAGUCUAUUCAAAUUUAUCUUUAAUACUUUUCAGGGUGAUCCUGGAAUUGAAGGUCAGAUUGGACGACUUGGUCCAAAGGUUUGCUAAAACCAGUGAGGUGAGGGUUUUUGGUGCUGUAACCUGUGAGGUUUGAUCGGUGCAUUUGUGUGUAUCCUCAGGGGGAUGUUGGGUUGAAAGGUGAUAAGGUGAGAUAUGUCUUCUAGUUUAGUAAAUCUUUGUCAAACAGAAUAGGAUGCUGAUAGGUUUGAUCUCUUUCAACAGGGUGAAGUUGGUGUAGGCGGAGCAAAGGUAUUGUGGGGCUAGCAUCCAUGUUUUUCAUGUUAUUCUGAAGCUACAUUGUGUUGCUGCUUGUGUUUAUCCUUUGUCUCCUUGCAUCACAAACCCUUAGGGUGUGGCAGGCGUACCAGGAAAAAAUGGAGUUCACGGACAAAAGGUGAGUACUGAUUUUUAAAGGUAGAAUAUGAACAUUUUAUAAAGGAAAUGAAACAAAAAUGGUGAUGUUUUAUGUUUAGGGUACAAUGGGCAGAAUUGGAGCUCCUGGCUGCAAAGGUGAUCCAGGCAAUGAGGGACCAGAGGGCUACCAAGGAGAAGCUGGUGAGACCGGUCCUCAAGGAUCCAAUGG
RNAcentral lists this long non-coding RNA (714 nucleotides) under Oryzias sinensis (Chinese medaka). RNAcentral's name for it is "lncRNA (ENSOSIG00000017518.1)". The record is from RNAcentral. Lineage: Eukaryota; Metazoa; Chordata; Actinopteri; Beloniformes; Adrianichthyidae.